Camelus dromedarius (Arabian camel) is the source of this 1719-nucleotide long non-coding RNA. RefSeq lists it as uncharacterized. The record is from RefSeq and is a predicted model, not a curated record. The transcript has 2 exons. Lineage: Eukaryota; Metazoa; Chordata; Mammalia; Artiodactyla; Camelidae.
CAGCCCGCGUUCAUACUUCCUGCAGCUCUGACCGGAGGUUUCUCCCGGCUGGACGGGUGUCAAUGACGCUGGGGCGGCAGGAUGACGAUUUUGACUUCAUUCGUUCUGCACAUCUGUGCUCAUAUCCCGGAAUAGGACUGAGAACAGCAUCUGGGUGACCACCGGGACUGUGGUGCCUCACGGAUGCCGCGUCGCACCAGGAAGGUCCGAGGAGCCAUCCCUGUUGUUGCCACGUGCUGGGGGGCUGUGCGCCCUCCGGUCUCAGUUCAGUAGGUGGGUGCGGGGGCCUCGCUUCCAAGGCGGGCUGCCCUUGCAGGCUGCAGGAGAGUGUUCUGGUGACUGCGUGCAUUGACACUGCCCGGGCACCUCUGUUCAGGUCUGUCCAGAAAUCACCUGGGGCGGCUGCUCCCCUGCACAGAGCCCUGCACCUACCCAGGUGGAUUGGAAGCACCUGUGCACAGCCACUUUACGCUGACAAAGCCCGCAGAGAACUCAGGUGCCGUUCAGCAGAUGAGUGGAUGACCGAACGGGGGCGCAGCCACUCAGUGGAGUGGGCUGCAGGAAUGGGGAGGAGCGAGGUCGUGGGCACGCGGCACGGGUGAAUCUUCAGUGCGUUUUCCCAAGUGAAAGAAGCCGGACCCGACAGCCUUCGUUCUGUACGAUCCCAUCUGCGGGGCGGCCCGGGAAAGGCAGAGCCACGAUGGGGAGUGGACAGGAGCAGCUGCAACUCAGCCUGACCCUGUGGAGCUGGAACCCAGAACCUCAAACGUCCUCAGUGGCUCCAGGUCGGAGCCCAAGAGUUCCCUCCAGAUGCUCCGUCCCACUUGUCCUGGGCUCGUGCGCCAGCGGUCAGCUUCGUGGGCUCCGCGCCUGGAGCCAUCAUCCCAGCGCCAAGCUCCUCUUUCUAGAGUCAGCCUCCUAAGGAGGGGAGGCUGGCACCAGCUGCGGCUGGUGACCCCCGUGAUGUCUGAUGCGGUAUCUCUGCCAGAUGCCCCAAGCCCAGAGAAGACAGCGGGAGAUGGCGGGACAUCGGGGGAGUGGGUCAGGGCGGGGGCUCUCGGGAGCCGCAUGCCUCUAAGGUCAUCCAGUCCGAAUGACCCGACUGGAGGGGGCAAGACUUGCCCGGAUGCGGCAGACUCGUGCUGAACCAGGACUGGAUCCUGGUCUCCUGAGCUGCCUCCUUCUCCACAGUGUCUGCAGAAGGAGGCCCCGGACCCAGCUGACACCAUGAGGGGGUCACCUGUGGGUGGGGCCCAGGGGGCUGGUCUCCCACAGGUGCCUUGGAAGCCAGCUGCAGGUCCUGCAGGAGGCAGUCUGUCCUGGUGGGUGCCGAGCUGGGGGUCAGGACCCAGGGCCGCGGUUCUGCACCCCAGACCUUGGUCUCCAGUCUCGAGCCUGACAGGCUGAUCAGCGGGCCCUGGGGGUGCUCAGUGAGUCCAUCACGGAAGCCAGUGCUCGGGGACCCGGGACAUGUCACCGCACGUGGGUACGAGUGCAGAAGUUGCGUCUGUCUAUCCUGACAUCUGUGUUCCCAGGCCGGGCUAUGGACAGACGGACAGACGCACAGACGCCGGCCUGCCCGAGUGCAUCCUAGGAGGGGGAACGGGGAAACGGAGCCAAAACCCUCUGGGUCUCUCCAGCUGCAUGCCUUCUGGGUUGACCAGUGCACCAGGGAGCCAAGUGCCCCUAAUAUUUGAAUCAGAAACAUGAUUUUCUAAA